CGUGCCAGCAGUCGCGGUUAUACAAUUUUAAAUAUUAAACUUUUUUGGUUAUGUAUUAAAUUAUAUUUAUUCAGUUAAUGGGAUUUUUAUUUGGUGAAAUAUUAAUUUUUUAGACACUGAUAUAUAUUAUAAUAUAAGAAAGUUAUAUAUAGACUAGGAUUAGAUACCCUAUUAUUUUAACUGUAAAAUGUCAACCUAAUUAGUAUUAGAUAUGAUCUUUAAAUUUAAAGAAUUUGGCGGUAAUUUAACUUUUCAGAGGAACCUGUCCUGUAAUUGAUAAUCCACAAUAAAUUUUACUUUUAUUAUGUUUAUAUAUCUCUAUCAUUGAAUGUCUUUUGAAGGAAAUUUUCUAAACGAUUUUUUAAUCAAAAUGUUAGGUCAAGGUUUAAUAAUAUAAAAGUAGAGAUGGGUUACAUUAUUUUUAUAUGAGGAAAAUUGUAUGGAAAUAUAUUUGAAUUUGGAUUUGAUAGUAAAUUAUUUUAAAAUAAAUAUUUGAUAUUAGCUCUAUAUUAUGCACAUAUCGCCCGUCACCCUU
RNAcentral lists this ribosomal RNA (535 nucleotides) under Pinalitus oromii. Its description in RNAcentral is "partial 12S ribosomal RNA". Lineage: Eukaryota; Metazoa; Arthropoda; Insecta; Hemiptera; Miridae. The record is from RNAcentral.